GACGAACGCUGGCGGCGUGCCUAAUACAUGCAAGUAGAACGCUGAAGGAGGAGCUUGCUUCUCUGGAUGAGUUGCGAACGGGUGAGUAACGCGUAGGUAACCUGCCUGGUAGCGGGGGAUAACUAUUGGAAACGAUAGCUAAUACCGCAUAAUAGUAGAUGUUGCAUGACAUUUGCUUAAAAGGUGCAAUUGCAUCACUACCAGAUGGACCUGCGUUGUAUUAGCUAGUUGGUGGGGUAACGGCUCACCAAGGCGACGAUACAUAGCCGACCUGAGAGGGUGAUCGGCCACACUGGGACUGAGACACGGCCCAGACUCCUACGGGAGGCAGCAGUAGGGAAUCUUCGGCAAUGGACGGAAGUCUGACCGAGCAACGCCGCGUGAGUGAAGAAGGGUUUCGGAUCGUAAAGCUCUGUUGUAAGAGAAGAACGAGUGUGAGAGUGGAAAGUUCACACUGUGACGGUAUCUUACCAGAAAGAGACGGCUAACUACGUG
RNAcentral lists this ribosomal RNA (495 nucleotides) under uncultured bacterium. RNAcentral describes it as "partial 16S ribosomal RNA". It matches the Rfam family "Bacterial small subunit ribosomal RNA", at positions 28 to 507 of the family's 1533-position model. The record is from RNAcentral.